UGGGGAAUAUUGGACAAUGGGCGAAAGCCUGAUCCAGCCAUGCUGCGUGUGUGAAGAAGGUCUUCGGAUUGUAAAGCACUUUAAGUUGGGAGGAAGGGCAGUAAGCGAAUACCUUGCUGUUUUGUCGUUACCGACAGAAUAAGCACCGGCUAACUCUGUGCCAGCAGCCGCGGUAAUACAGAGGGUGCAAGCUUUAAUCGGAAUUACUGGGCGUAAAGUGCGCGUAGGUGGUUCGUUAAGUUGAAUGUGAAAGCCCCGGGCUCAACCUGGGAACUGCAUCCAAAACUGGCGAGCUAGAGUAGGGCAGAGGGUGGUGGAAUUUCCUGUGUAGCGGUGAAAUGCGUAGAUAUAGGAAGGAACACCAGUGGCGAAGGCGACCACCUGGGCUCAUACUGACACUGAGGUGCGAAAGCGUGGGGAGCAAACAGG
Molecule: ribosomal RNA, 429 nt
Filed under: Pseudomonadota bacterium
Lineage: Bacteria; Pseudomonadati; Pseudomonadota
Description: Proteobacteria bacterium partial 16S ribosomal RNA
Rfam family: Bacterial small subunit ribosomal RNA
Source: RNAcentral